Long non-coding RNA from Olea europaea var. sylvestris, 426 nucleotides. RefSeq lists it as uncharacterized. The transcript is spliced from 2 exons. The record is from RefSeq and is a predicted model, not a curated record. NCBI's taxonomy places the organism in Eukaryota, Viridiplantae, Streptophyta, Magnoliopsida, Lamiales, Oleaceae.
AAAAAAAAUUAAGGCACAUUUCUCCAUAUGCAUGAAGAACAAGUAUGGAAAAGCAAGUAGCAAGCGUCUCGCAAAUCACUGGUUUUCGGCUUCAAGCAGCAGUUAUGGAUGGCCUAGUUGCAUUCUAGUCGCUGAUAUAAAUAACCCUUAUAAAGGAUUUUCAGUUGAAGAUCACUGCAUUAUUGAAGUUGAAUUAUCUAUUCAAGCUGUCUUGCGUGGUUUACCGUAAGAUUCAAUUUUCUGUAGUAAAAUGGGAUUUAAAGGGUUCUUGCUUACUAGAUUCAUGUUAAUAGAAACAUCCAUGCUUAAACUAUUGCUUAUUUUAUUUUGGCUAAAUUGCACUCGAUGUCCCCAAUGUUUGCCUCUUGUAGCACGUUUGCUAUCUCCUUUUUACGUCGCAGUUUAAGCUCAACUUUUUGUUGAUUA